CCCCAGGCCCUUAGCCCGGCACCCUAGUUGCCAGUGGGCAGUGCCUGCAGAGAACUGCAGAUGGAGUUCCUAAGCACUGGUGACCACUGGGGGAGGGUGGGGGCAGCAGAGCUGAGUGGCAGUGUCCCAAGAGUAAACUGUCCCCAGACCUCAGAGAUCCGCCUGCUGCCUGCCUCUAGCCCGAACUGAUAAACCUCCUCCCUUCCUUAUGACUAAUAAAACUAAUCAGAAGCAGGCAGCUGUCAUGUAGGGUCAGCCAGAAACUGCCUCCCUGGAGGUCCAGAUGGGGCUGGGGCCUGGAGUGACUCACCUGUUCCUCUUCUUCUCUGGGGUGGCCUGGCAGCUGACAAUGUGCUCCUGUCCAGCGAUGGGAGCCGUGCAGCCCUCUGUGACUUCGGCCAUGCUGUGUGCCUUCAACCCGAUGGCCUGGGGAAGUCCUUGCUCACGGGUAAGCCCUGCCUCCUGCCUCCCUCCCCCACGAUGACAGUCACCACUAGCCUUCACGAAGCAUUAGCCUUCUCCUGUGCUUUCUGUAAUAGCAGUCAGAGGUGUGAACCCUUUUUGUCCACAGUAUUUCAGCCCAUCAACAACCCUAGGUUAGCAGAAAGCUUUUGUUACGCUUAAAUGCAAGAAUGAGUAUCAGGUCCUCGUUUCUGAUAUUCCUGCUACACAGAGAAGGGAACGGAAAGGCUGGCCGCCUCUCAUCCAGCCUUUUCUGGGUGGCUCGGCUCCCAGCCUGUGGCCUCAGCCAUCCUGGGCCUCUGAGCAGUUUCUGGAAGCACAACACGAGGGCUGACCAAGAGGCCUGGGCUCUGUAGCUGGAGAAGCAUCUGUUUUUAACUUAAAUCUUCUGAUUAGUAAAGUAAUCCACAUCCAUUGUGACAUAUUUAGCAACUACAGAGUGAAGUGGUGUAGAAGAGGAGGGAAAAAGGAGCUACCCUGUUCCUCUUGCCCAGAGACAUAAUCACAAACAUUGUAGAUCACUCCUUCCAUCUCCUUUUUUUCUUCCUGUACCUCGUUAAGGCCAUUAUAACACAAUUCUGCUCUUUUUUCAUUUAUAGCGUUCUGCAUAAGGUUAUUUCCUCUUGACCAAAGGAAAAUCAACCUCUUAUUUAUUUAUUGAGAGAGAGAGAGAGAGAGAGCAGGGAAAGGGCAGAGGGAGAGAAUCCCAAGCAGGCUCCACAGUGUCAGCACAGAGCCCCAUGUGGGGCUCAAACCCACGAACUGCAAGAUCAUGACCUGAGCCGAAACCAUGAGUCAGACGCCCAACCGAGCCACCCCGGCACCCUAGGCAAAAACCUUUUAGAAGUGAUUCUCUGACAGGGCACCUGGGUGGCUCUCAGUUAAGUGCCAGACUUCGGCUCCGGUCAUGAUCUCAUGGUUUGUGGGUGCCAGCCCCGUGUCAGGCUGUGUGCUGACAGCUCAGCGCCUGGGGCCUGCUUCAGAUUCUGUGUCUCCCUCUCUCUCUCUGCCCCUCCUCUGCUCACCCUCUCUCUCUCAAAAAUAAAAAGCAUUAAAAAUUUUUUUAAGUGAUUCUCUAUCAUUAGAGGACUAUCUUGGUCAUUCUGAAGAUGUAUAUUGAAAACAGACACCUGCCUGUAUUAUGAAAAUAAUUUCUUUUCUAAAAUCUUUUGCAGAAAGUAGAACUAAGCUAAAAUAAAAAAUACAGAUCACCAGAGUGGGGGAAACAACUUCCUAUCUGGUAUCGAUCCUUCUAGUCUGCCUAGAAGUUUGUUUGGUUGUUUUUUUGUUUUUGUUUUUUUCACUUGCUAACAUUGCAGGAACAUCAUAACCAUUAAUUAGUCUCCUGCCACAUAAUUUCGAACGCCCAGGCCCCUCCCCAGUGUUAAAAAGCACUCUAAGAGUUUGGGCCAAUGGGUAGAGCCCAUAUUUUGGGUGAUGCCUUCUUUGUGCCAGUCUCCAGGGGAGCCCCUGACUUAGCUCAUCCCCGGCAGAUUUGAGCUGGAGGCUUUCUCUCUACUCGAGGCCCAUUAACAGAGACAAAUUCAAGGUAUCCCGGGAAUUGACUGGUGUGGUCACUGCCAAGGCUCUUGCCCCCCAGAGUUCACGGUUGGCUUUUCCGCCUCACCUCACCCCCCUCAGGGGACUACAUCCCUGGCACAGAGACCCACAUGGCUCCAGAGGUGGUGAUGGGCAAGCCCUGUGACGCCAAGGUGGACGUGUGGAGCAGCUGCUGUAUGAUGCUUCACAUGCUCAACGGCUGCCACCCUUGGACCCAGUACUUCAGAGGGCCACUGUGCCUCAAGGUCAGUGACAGCAUGCGGGAGGGCCAGGAGGCCCACGGGCCCGGGGCUGCAGACUUGGGGCGGUCCCCAUUUUGGCUGCUCUUCCGUGGCCGAUGGGAACAGGAAGAGGCCUCAUCGUAAACGUGGGAGCCUCACUAAAACACUUGCCACCCAGAUCGGUGGGCCCAAGGGGACAUCCCAGGUGAAGGAUCUCCUUAGGUUCAUGGCAGGUCAGCGCUGUCUUCCACUCGUACGCUGGGUGCUGGGAAGUGAGCGUUGCCUUCUGACCCACAGAUUGCCAGCGAGCCGCCGCCUGUGAGGGAGAUCCCACCGUCCUGUGCCCCUCUCACGGCCCAGGCCAUCCAGGAGGGGCUAAGGAAAGAGCCUGGGCACCGCGCGUCUGCAGUGGAGCUGUGGAGGAAGGUCAGCCUGGCCCUGCAGCAUGGUAAGAACCCCACACUGGCUGCAGGGGUGAGAGAGUCAACACGGCCCAUACCGACCCAGCACCAAAGAGAUUCUCGCUGGGACAUGCCGGAGGGCCCGCACUGCAGGGUCGUUUGCAGGAGAGGAGUAGGCUCAGUGGCGGGUCCCUUGCUGGGAGACUGGAAAGGCCAGAGGCAAGGGUGGUGGGCAGGGUGGGCCCCAUGGAGCACCACUCAGCAGUUAAAGCAACCCAGUGGCGCAGAGCAACCUGGCUGGAUUUUGAAACCGUGGUGCGCUGGGCAAAAAGGAGACGGACAGAGCGAGGCCUAGAACACAAUACCUUUUUUGUAAACGAGAUAUUGAAAAAUAAAAACAACACACAGUUUGCAAGAACACGAUCGAACCCAAAGUGACACAGCAAAUAGAGGGUCACGGGGCGGGGGGGGGUGGGCGGUGCAGGGGAGAGGCAGUGGUUAUGGGAAUGAAAGGGGAAUACAUAAAACAGGAGAGAGAUCCUGAAUGCCCCCCCCCCACAAAACAUAGAUGAACUGCCCCCCCCCCCCCCNNNNNNNNNNNNNNNNNNNNNNNNNNAGAUGGGGGCGGGGCGGGGCGGGUGGUCAAGGAGGCCAGCGUACAUGGGAACUCAAAGUUGGUGUUACCUCGGAGCUGUUUUUAAAUCUUUACCAUUUACAAAGUCCUUCUCUGGAGCCAAUUCUGGCAUUUUUAAAUUUGUGAUGGUUACCUAGAAGGAAAAUAGAAUAAAAGACAGAAAUACCAUCCUGCUCCCACUGUGGGAGGCCGUCUUACGGAAGAGGCCGCCUCCGAGACCUCAGCGUCCCCUAGUGGGGCAAGGGCCCUCCGUCACUGCUUGCCUCCAGCCCUCUGCUCGGGAAGGGCCACCUGGCCGGGCCUGUUUCCACCUCACCGCCUGUGCUCUGUUUUGUAGUGGGAGGUCUGAGGAGCCCUUGGAGAGGAGAGUAUAAAGAGCCAAGACAACCGCCGCCACACCAAGCCCAUCCGCCGCCCAGCCAAGGCCACUCUCCCCGGACGCCACAGGCCCAGCCGAGGGAGCUCUCACCUGGGGCUCCGGGGCCCCAGCCAACCGAGGACACGACAGGCGGGGCCCCUAAGCUCCAGCCUCCUCUACCCCCAGAACCCCCAGAGCGGAACAAGUCUCCAAGCCUGAACUGGGGCAAGGAGGAGUCUGGAACAUGGGAACCAUUACCUCUGUCCUCCCUGGACCCGGCCCCUGCCAAAAACCCCAGCUCGGUGGAGCGGAAGGCGACCUUCCCAGAACAGGAGCUGCAACAACUGGAAAUAGGUAUGGGCGGCCACGGCUGCGACCUCUGGGUCCCCGCGCACAGACCUGGGCCUCCCCCAAGGCCCGGGCUUCAUCCCCUGCGCAGCCAGCGUGCGCUUUCUUCUAGGCCCUUCCCUCAGAGGUCAGCUCCUGCGGUCCGUGCAGCCCCACACACAGCUGGGCCGGGCCACUCCCGGUCUUCCACAGCCAUCCUCUGCCUUCCUCUCCAGAACUGUUUCUGAACAGCCUGUCCCAGCCGUUUUCACUGGAGGAGCAGGAGCAGAUUCUCUCGUGCCUCAGCGUCGACAGCCUCUCUCUGUCAGACGACAGCGAGAAGGUAAGCCGGCCGGGGACCCAGGGCCGGGGCACGGAGCUUUGUGUCCAGCUGGUGAAGGGGCUGUGUGCAAGCAGCGGCGAAGGGAGGCUGGUGGGGGGGUCACCCCUUCCUUUUGGAAGGGCUCCCCACCGGGGCAGGGUGUCACGCUUGCUCAGGAUGAGCCAAUCCGUCUCCAACGCACCUGGGGAACUGGGGAACCGUUUGGCUACUCGCGAUUGUGGGGAUGGAGAUUUGGGCUUGGGGCCCCCUAGAAGUACUCUUCACCCCCCACUCCAGACCCCAGCUUAGCCCCAAAAGUGCCCAGUGGGGCCACGCUCCAGCCCGGGACACGAGCGGUUCCUCGCCCCCGAGCCCUUCCGCCCCAAGCCCCAUCAAGGCCACAGAUGGUUCCCCAAGCCCAGGGGCCCGAGUUGUGCCCCCUCUUGUUUCAGAACCCGUCAAAGGCCUCUCAGAGCUCGCGGGACACCCUGAGUUCCGGUGUGCACUCAUGGAGCAGCCAGGCAGAGGCUCGCAGCUCCAGCUGGAACAUGGUGCUGGCACGGGGACGGCCCACCGACACUCCAAGCUAUUUCAAUGGUACACCCCAAUACUUGCCUGCCCAGCUGCCCCCACAGCACCUGAUCGGCCUGCGACGAGGGAGUCCGAGGCAGUUUAUGUCCCCCUUCUCCUGGCGCAGCGGGGGAAGGGAGAGGAAGGCACCGGGCGCCCGGACUGGAGGAGCCUGGCCACGAAGUCGGUCUAGAGCAAAGGCCCUGAUUGCCCCAGAGCCUUCCCUGGUGGGGCAGUCAGUGAAGGACCUGGCCCCUCAUGGGUUGCCGAUGGAGUUCUAGAAGGCCCCUACUGUGGGGCACAGAGCGGUCUCUCCUGGCCUAGCGUCAAGAAGUAAAUAAUGCCUUCCAAGGGGAACAGGAGGAACGAGGCCUUAUGAGCAUUUAAAAAAAAUUUUUUUUAAUGUUUAUUUAUAAUUUUUGAGAGAGAGAGAGAGAGAGCACAGGUGGCAGGGGGGCAGAGAGAGAGAGGGAGACACAGAAUCCAAAGUAGGCUCCAGGCUCUGGGCUGUCGGCACAGAGCCCGACGUGGGGCUCGAACUCACGAACCGGGAGAUCAUGACCUGAGCCGAAGUCGGCCGCUUAACCGACUGAGCCACCCAGGUGCCCCGACCUCGUGAGCAUUUUGAUCGAGAACUCCGCAACAAGUUUGCUGGGAUCCUCCUCUGGGAUUUAAAGUCAUUAAGACGAGAAAGAAAACAUACAUGGACUUGUUUUCAAGGGUGGCUGCGUAGGCUAUGUCGUGAUUUUGAUAGAACGAGGAUUUCAUCAGCUCCCGCUCUUACCAGGGCCGGUGUGACACAUGGCAUCAAGCCCCCGUGGCCUGGCCGACGGCUGUCCCAACUGAGGGGACAUUACAGCCUAAGUUGCCCACAAUCUAAUUUAAGAGUCUCUGUUUCCACUUCCUUUUUGCUUUGUGUGCAGGUUGGAAUGCUAGUUCCCCAUAAGAGCCAACCUUAGCUCUUUGCAUUGUGCAGGCCAAAUUCUAGAUGUUGACAGAAAAUUACCAGGAAGAGCUAGCAGGCGUAGAACAUUAGGGCCACUCUAGCCUAAAUGUCACAUCGGCUUCCUCACAGCCAUCCUGCGUCCCUCUCCGUGGGGCUCCUUACAGAGAGCCAGCAGCCACUCUCCUGACGGUCACCUUGCCUGCCUUCUAGGUGUGAAAAUCCAAAUACAGUCUCUCAACGGCGAACACCUGCACAUCCGGGAGUUUCACCGGGUCAAGGUGGGGGACAUCGCAACAGGCAUCAGCAGUCAGGUAAGGGGACAGGUGCACACUUAAGAGGCAGAGUCCCAGAAGUCAGUGUACCUGGCCCAGCCCUCCAGGGGGAAGGCUUUUGAAUAAGUAGAAAUGGCACUGUAGGGAAUAGUUGACUUCGGUUAUCCCCCAAGGGCUCAGGGCAAGCCCCCCGGUGGUGACUGAGGGGUCCCCAGGACCUACCCUUGGGCUGGUUGAGAUUCUCCAGAAAGAAAGGCAAGAGUAUGCCUUCGGGACAACCCACCUGGCUGGAGAGAGACCUCCGCUUUGCACUUCUGGGCAGCCCCCAAACCCCAUGCUGCUGUCUCAGGCCUGCUGGUUUGCUCUGCCCCCAGAUCCCAGCCGCAGCCUUCAGCUUGGUGACCAAGGACGGGCGGCCCGUGCGCUAUGACAUGGAGGUGCCAGACUCGGGCAUCGACCUGCAGUGCACCCUGGCCCCUGAUGGCAGCUUUGCCUGGAGCUGGAGGGUCAAGCAUGGCCACCUGGAGAACAGGCCCUAACCCAGCCUUCCACCACUGGCUCCGCUCCACCGGAAGCGGCCUGCCUUCUUGGUGUCAGUGCCGCCCCCGACACACGGGCUCAGCCUGCUCCCGGGGACCUGCCAUCCUGUGGCUUCACUGGUGGGACUAGGGGUGAGCAGAAUGCCUCCCAGGAUCUGCUGUGUCCUGCCUGACCCUGCCAAGAGAACGCCCGGUGCCCACGUGAGGAGGAGGAAGGAGGCAGGAGGCCGCUCCCCAUGGGGAGCCAAAAGGGUCUUCUCUGCUCUGGUCCAAACAAGCUGGCCUGACCUGCUUAGAUCAGUGACCACUUGCUGGCAGUCAGGAUAGAGCAGCUUCCGGCCUGGGUCAGGGAGGGGUGGGCGAGCCCCUCGGCCUCCAAGCAGGUGUGAGGGUGUCGAGUGUCCCAGGACCCACACCCAGGUCCAAUGCAGGAGCGGGACGGCAGGCGUACCCACCCCCGGAUUAGCAGGGAGCCCUCUGACCCCCUUGCCUGGCCAUCGAACCCCCCUUUAGACCUAGCAGCUUUUCUGCCAGAGUCAGGGAGGGAGGAAGGCCGGACACUGGAAGUCUCCCAGGGAGAACUCGCUCGUCAUGUUGUUGCAGCAUAGGUCCUGAGCCGAACUCCGCUUCAGCCAAGGACCAGAGGUGUCUUAAGUGAAAUGGUUCUCAGUCCCCAAGCACAUGUCCCUUUGCCGCCGGCCACCAGUCUUCCCCAGAGCAGCAGGCUCUGAGUCCCAGCACUGCUCCCGGCUGGCUGGCACUCAGCCCCCUCAUCUGUCAAAGUGAAGGGCGACGGGAGCCCUACCCGGCAGGAGCCGUCUGGAGCUGGGGUGUGGCAGAUGUGUGAGAAAGCAGCAGCCGCAGGCACCCCCCCAUCCACCCCACCCCCCAUUCCUCCCGGCCACGGCUUGGAACAUCAUGCACACCAGCUUCCUGAGACACAGCCCCGGCAUCACACUCACACCAGCCCCGCCCUGCCCCUCGUCCAGGGACAACUUGCCAACUGCACUUUGCACUCUGAUGACCUCAAAGCACUUUCACGGCUGCCCUCCAGGAGGGCAGGUCAGUGGCUCUGCACGCGCUAAAGCAGGCCAGGAGAUGGGGUGAAGGGAUUCAAGUCUUGACCUGUCUUUACGCACACGACCCCUCAAACCUCCGUUUUUCUUUAAGAUGAGCCCCACCCCCCACCCCGUUGCCCCAGCCCUGUCUUUUCGUCAGUGGGGGUGCUGAUCAGGACUCAUGUAGCAUUAAUCAACUGUGAAUCAUUGUGUGGGGGCCUGCCAGCCUCCGCUUCUGGGGGUGAGGGGUGGCCCCUGAGAUCCCUCCUUGGGAGAAGCUCGUCCCCGUGUCUUGCCAAGGCGGCGUCUGUCCAGCUAUCCACAUCGAGCCAUUCUCCUCCCCAUGGAGGGACCCCCAGCCCCCAGGACAUGAAGAUCUCCAGCCUUGGUACUGCAGAGUUCAGGUUGUAGAGAACUCUUUGUAAGCAAUAAAGUUUGGGGUGACGAC
RNAcentral lists this long non-coding RNA (8118 nucleotides) under Lynx pardinus (Iberian lynx). The record is from RNAcentral. Lineage: Eukaryota; Metazoa; Chordata; Mammalia; Carnivora; Felidae.